RNAcentral lists this ribosomal RNA (253 nucleotides) under uncultured bacterium. RNAcentral describes it as "partial 16S ribosomal RNA". It matches the Rfam family "Bacterial small subunit ribosomal RNA", at positions 524 to 776 of the family's 1533-position model. The record is from RNAcentral.
UACGUAGGGUGCAAGCGUUGUCCGGAAUUAUUGGGCGUAAAGAGCUCGUAGGCGGUUCGUCGCGUCGGCUGUGAAAACCCGGAGCUCAACUCCGGGCCUGCAGUCGAUACGGGCGGACUUGAGUGUUGCAGGGGAGACUGGAAUUCCUGGUGUAGCGGUGAAAUGCGCAGAUAUCAGGAGGAACACCGGUGGCGAAGGCGGGUCUCUGGGCAACUACUGACGCUGAGACACGAAAGCGUGGGUAGCAAACAGG